AUGGAGCCGCGGCGCCUGAGCCUGGCAGCGGCGGAAGAUGGAGGCCCGGCGCCUGAGCCUGGCUGCGGCGGAGACGGAGCUCGAUGUGCUGGAGUCGCCGGCGCUGUCUUGCUGCCGGCGAUGGAGCUGGAGGUACUCGGAGGUGGGGAGCUCGAGGUGCUGGGUGCGGGAGCUCGAGGACCUGACGCCGGCGACGGGGCCCUAGUGCUGGGGAUGGAGCUCGAGGUUUUGGCCGGCGGGAGAUCGAGGUUCUGGCCGGUGGACGGAGGUUCCCCGCGGUGGAUCACGACGAGCGGACGGAGCGACGAGCGGACGGAGAACUGGAUACUGGAUUGUAAUGAUUUCAAAUUUCGGAAGGGUCUUAUUGUAAAAUUGAUUUGUUCACGAUUCCUCCCCCUGGAGUCAUCUAUUACCGAACGGAGGGAGUACUAG
RNAcentral lists this ribosomal RNA (432 nucleotides) under Triticum aestivum (bread wheat). RNAcentral describes it as "partial small subunit ribosomal RNA". The record is from RNAcentral. Lineage: Eukaryota; Viridiplantae; Streptophyta; Magnoliopsida; Poales; Poaceae.